GUACACGCUGUGACUAGCAUAUCAAUAAGCGGAGGAAAAGAAACUAACAAGGAUUCCCCUAGUAACGGCGAGUGAAGCGGGAAGAGCUCAAAUUUGAAAUCUUAAAGGGUUUCCCUUUACGAAUUGUAGUUUAAAGAAGUGUUUUCUGUUGAGGUUUUGGUAAAAGUUCUUUGGAAUAGGACAUCAUAGAGGGUGAGAAUCCCGUAUUUGACCUUUACUUUCAACUUUGUGAUACACUUUCAAAGAGUCGGAUUGUUUGGGAAUGCAGUCCAAAAUGGGUGGUAAAUUUCAUCUAAAGCUAAAUAUUGGCGAGAGACCGAUAGCGAACAAGUACCGUGAGGGAAAGAUGAAAAGAACUUUGAAAAGAGAGUUAAACAGUACGUGAAAUUGUCAAAAGGGAAGCGUUUGACACCAGUGUUGUUUUUCUGAAAAUCAAUUAAAGAACUGUUUAUGCUAAGUUGUUUAGACUUUAUCAGCUAUCUGUUUAGUUUUGAGCUUUUCUUUAAUGCACUUUUCAGUUAACAAGUCAGCAUCAAUUUCUUUUGCUGUAAAAAAGCUUGAGGAAGGUGGCUUGAGAUUCGUCUUAAGUGUUUAUAGCCUCUUGCCUAUGCAGUCGGAGAGAUUGAGGUCUGCAGCGUAGAUCCUUCGGGGCUGAAUGCAUUUGUGCUAAGUUAUAGCAUUUUAUAGACAACUUGUUGACUAUGAUUUGUCUUGUAGCUUACUCGCUUAUGUUAUUUUACCUACGCUUAGGAUGUUGACUGAUAUGUAGUCGUA
RNAcentral lists this ribosomal RNA (774 nucleotides) under uncultured Neocallimastigales. RNAcentral's name for it is "partial large subunit ribosomal RNA". It matches the Rfam family "Eukaryotic large subunit ribosomal RNA", at positions 22 to 644 of the family's 3401-position model. Lineage: Eukaryota; Fungi; Neocallimastigomycota; Neocallimastigomycetes; Neocallimastigales. The record is from RNAcentral.